UCUCAAUAGAAUGUAACUCGGAGAGUGG
RNAcentral lists this non-coding RNA (28 nucleotides) under Rattus norvegicus (Norway rat). The record is from RNAcentral. Lineage: Eukaryota; Metazoa; Chordata; Mammalia; Rodentia; Muridae.